CCCUCUCCGCCGCGCCGUGAGGGACCUCCGCUUCCAUCGUCGACCCCUCCACUCCAUAGACGGCAUCGCCCUUCAGAACCCCCCUCCCAUUCCUGCCACGAGCCCCAACCAGAAGCGAGACGGCAGAUUGGGGUGAACACCGAUGGCCGCGAGCUUGCCACGGAGAAUUGGUACUGACCUCCCAACCUCAUCUCCGGCCACCGACGCCCGGCGGGAUGUUGGCCGACCAGCCGCCAAAGAAGAGCCUCACGAGCUCAUCCCUGCCGCCGCCGGACCAGCACAGGGCGUCAAGGCCUCCAGGCGGCUCUUCCCUAACGAGCUAGGCGCAGAUCAGGAUCCCAUGGUCCCACGUGCCCGGCCUCCAUACCGCCGGGGAACUCAUCUGCUGCCUCCUCAUCUCUGCUGCAAGAGCAUAGCUCCCGCUGUCCUCUGAAGUUAACGCCGCCUACAUGGAGGAGCAGCACCGUUCAAUGGCUCAUCCCGGCACCACGGUUGUCCGCGCGCGGAGGUGGCGGUUGGCGAGUUGCAAGGAUGCACAGUGGCUGGUUCUGGACCGACGCUUAGAUGAUGUCGGGAUAUGAACUGCUAUGGCUAACUUCUAGGUGCAUCUCGCCGCCUUAUCUUAUGUUAAAUCGCUUCGACUCUCUUUAAAGAGUUUCUAGUCACUUCAGUUAAGUUGUUUAUCCCUGGUAACUAAAUUGUUUAUAUUCUUAAGUAAGUUGUUUACUACUAAUUUUUAUCAAGUUUUAUUUUGCUGCAAUAUCUAUGCUAUGUUUCACUUUAAUAGAGUUUCUAGUCGCUUUAGUUAAGUUGAUUAUCCAUGGUAGUUAAGUUGCUCAUACCCUUAAGUAAGUUAUUUACUCCUUAUUUUUAUGAAGCGUCAAGCUUCCGGAAUUCCUCGCCAAGCUGCCCACUUCAUAUGUGUCAAGCUUCCCGAAUCCCACGCUGAUUUGCCAACUUCAUGAUAAGGGUUCAGCAUGCAUGUUCAUUUCUGAUAUUUCUAUGUUUUACUUUCAUGGCUUUCUGAAGGUUAUGUUGGGAUCACGGCUACGUUGUUGAUUACUUCUUUGCAAGUUUCUUAUUUUGCUUCUUCCUUCCCUUUAACUAAGUUGAUUUUAUCAAUAUGAUUAAGUUGGUUGCAUCAUCUAACUAAGUUGCUUUUUGUCAACAUUCUUAAAGUUUUUGAGUUACACCAAAAUGCUCCUCAAUAGUAUAGUGAUUUAAUUAAGUUGCUUCUUUUCAUCUGGCUAAGUUGCUUGGUCGGACUGACUAAGUUGUUUUAUAUGAUAAUAUCACAUAACUAAGUUGCGUUCCCCCAUGCAUUUAUUUCUUGGUUAAACAACUAAUGGAAAUCCUGAGCUUACUAAUGACUUUUAAUUAGAAACUUGCUUUUCUAGCAGGAAAACUUGAAUCUGGAAACAAAAAAAUGACAGAAGAGACAAACAUGUUAUUCCCAUGAAUCUAAGUAAGCAUGCUUCUCAAUUUUUGGUUAGUUGUUUUUGUGAAUCUAGGUAAGUUGGCUUUCCAACAUUGGUUAAGUUAUUGUCUGAACCUAGGAAAGUUGGCUCCUCAAUGUUUGUUUAGGGUAGUACAUGUUUGUUAGUUGUUUCAUGCAUGGAUGCUAAAGGCAAUGGGUUGUUUAGCAGGUUGGUAGUAAAUAUGCCAUCUUAUGUUUAUCCCAUUUUUAUUCAAAUUUUGUUCUGCCUGUUGCCACAUAUUUUUGUCUAACAUGAUUUUUCAUUUUUUUUGCUGAUUUGGCAAAAAAGUAGUUGAAAGAAGGUGUUGGCGCCAUCAUAAGAGGUGGUCUUUUUGUUGGGAUGACAAGGACCGAAGAAUUUGAAUUUUCGAAGUUGCAACAGGGUUUUUUCCUAUGAGAGUAAUGCGACAAGAACAAGUGUGUGGGGGCGUCAGCAUAGUCAACGGAGAAAAUUCUAUAGCUGGUCUAUUGAUGCUACCGAAACUGUUUAGUAGACAACUAUGUACAUAUGCAGAUAAAUAGUGAUGUUUUUCGAGUUACAUAACUAUUAGUACUAGUGCACCUACAUAUUCAGUACCAUGGAAACAUUUUGUAGCACAAACCAUAUGAGUUUGUAUUAAAAAAAAACCUAGUAUCUUGUUCAUAUGCAA
This is a long non-coding RNA of Lolium rigidum, 2127 nucleotides long. RefSeq lists it as uncharacterized. The record is from RefSeq and is a predicted model, not a curated record. Lineage: Eukaryota; Viridiplantae; Streptophyta; Magnoliopsida; Poales; Poaceae. The transcript is spliced from 3 exons.